CCUACGGGAGGCAGCAGUCGAGAAUCAUUCACAAUGGGGGAAACCCUGAUGGUGCGACGCCGCGUGGGGGAAUGAAGGUCUUCGGAUUGUAAACCCCUGUCAUGUGGGAGCAAAUUAAAAAGAUAGUACCACAUGAGGAAGAGACGGCUAACUCUGUGCCAGCAGCCGCGGUAAUACAGAGGUCUCAAGCGUUGUUCGGAAUCACUGGGCGUAAAGCGUGCGUAGGCUGUUUCGUAAGUCGUGUGUGAAAGGCGCGGGCUCAACCCGCGGACGGCACAUGAUACUGCGAGACUAGAGUAAUGGAGGGGGAACCGGAAUUCUCGGUGUAGCAGUGAAAUGCGUAGAUAUCGAGAGGAACACUCGUGGCGAAGGCGGGUUCCUGGACAUUAACUGACGCUGAGGCACGAAGGCCAGGGGAGCGAAAGGGAUUAGAUACCCGUGUAGUC
This 446-nucleotide ribosomal RNA is filed under the name uncultured bacterium. RNAcentral describes it as "partial 16S ribosomal RNA". It matches the Rfam family "Bacterial small subunit ribosomal RNA", at positions 338 to 795 of the family's 1533-position model. The record is from RNAcentral.